CCAAUAGCGUAUAUUAAAGUUGUUGCAGUUAAAAAGCUCGUAGUUGAAUUUCGGGGUUCAUACGUUGGUCGGGCUUUUUGGUCUGUACUAGCGUAAUGGAUUCCUACCUUCUGAAUAACCGGCAUGCCAUUAAUUUGGUGCGCCGGGGAAGCAGGACUGUUACCUUGAAAAAAUUAGAGUGCUUAAAGCAGGCUAUCGCCGGAAUACAUUAGCAUGGAAUAAUGAAAUAGGACGGCAUGGUUCUAUUUUGUUGGUUUCUAGGAUCACCGUAAUGAUUAAUAGGGAUAGUUGGGGGCAUUAGUAUUCAAUUGUCAGAGGUGAAAUUCUUGGAUUUAUUGAAGACUAACUUCUGCGAAAGCAUUUGCCAAGGAUGUUUUCAUUAAUCAAGAACGAAAGUUAGGGGAUCGAAGACGAUCAGAUACCGUCGUAGUCUUAACCAUAAACUAUGCCGACUAGGGAUCGGACGAUGUUAAUUUUUUAAUGACUCGUUCGGCGCCUUACG
Molecule: unclassified non-coding RNA, 502 nt
Filed under: uncultured Acaulospora
Lineage: Eukaryota; Fungi; Glomeromycota; Glomeromycetes; Diversisporales; Acaulosporaceae
Description: SSU rRNA
Rfam family: Eukaryotic small subunit ribosomal RNA
Source: RNAcentral